CUCUCUCCAGUGGCGACAUCUCCCACUUCCCAGUCGGAGACAACUCUUCCCUCUCCCUGGUUGGCAUCGGUGACAUCUCCUUCUCUCUCCCCAGUCAGUGACAUCUACUCUUUUCAAUUGACGCUUCUCUCCCCCACUUCACUGACGACUGCUGGAGACAACCCUUGCCUCUCCCCAAUCGGCGUCGGCGACAUCUCCUUUGACUGGAACUCUCUUCAGGUUUGCAAUUAAAUUUUUUGAUAAUCAAGAUCUUUUAUGUGCAUGUUGUUAAAGAAUUUUUAGUUGCUAUUAAAGAUUUUUAGAAUUUAUGAACUAUUAAUUUGAUUAU
Molecule: long non-coding RNA, 328 nt
Filed under: Manihot esculenta (cassava)
Lineage: Eukaryota; Viridiplantae; Streptophyta; Magnoliopsida; Malpighiales; Euphorbiaceae
Description: long non-coding RNA (MESC_LNC006091)
Source: RNAcentral